This 426-nucleotide ribosomal RNA is filed under the name uncultured Chlamydiae bacterium. Its description in RNAcentral is "bacterial SSU rRNA". It matches the Rfam family "Bacterial small subunit ribosomal RNA", at positions 958 to 1385 of the family's 1533-position model. The record is from RNAcentral. Lineage: Bacteria; Pseudomonadati; Chlamydiota; Chlamydiia.
AACGCGAAGAACCUUACCCAGGCUCGAAAUGUAAUGGACGAUAUCAGAGAUGGUAUUUUCCGCAAGGACCGUUAUAUAGGUGCUGCAUGGCUGUCGUCAGCUCGUGCCGUGAGGUGUUGGGUUAAGUCCCGCAACGAGCGCAACCCUUAUCAUUAGUUGCCAACAUGAAAGAUGGGGACUCUAAUGAGACUGCCUAGGUUAACUAGGAGGAAGGUGAGGAUGACGUCAAGUCCGCAUGGCCUUUAUGUCUGGGGCUACACACGUGCUACAAUGGUCGGUACAGAAGGCAGCAAGACCGCAAGGUGGAGCAAAUCCGUAAAGCCGAUCACAGUUCAGAUUGUAGUCUGCAACUCGACUACAUGAAGUUGGAAUUGCUAGUAAUGACGUGUCAGCAACAACGUCGUGAAUACGUUCCCGGGCCUUGUA